RNAcentral lists this ribosomal RNA (610 nucleotides) under uncultured bacterium. Its description in RNAcentral is "bacterial SSU rRNA". It matches the Rfam family "Bacterial small subunit ribosomal RNA", at positions 28 to 641 of the family's 1533-position model. The record is from RNAcentral.
GAUGAACGCUAGCGGCAGGCCUAACACAUGCAAGUCGAGCGGGAUUCACCUUCGGGUGAUGAGAGCGGCGCACGGGUGCGUAACGCGUAUACAAUCUACCUUUUGCUACGGGAUAGCCCAGAGAAAUUUGGAUUAAUAUCGUAUAGUAUAUUUUGUUUUCAUGAACAUUAUAUUAAAGGUUACGGCAAAAGAUGAGUAUGCGUCCUAUUAGCUAGAUGGUGUGGUAACGGCAUACCAUGGCAACGAUAGGUAGGGGCCCUGAGAGGGGGAUCCCCCACACUGGUACUGAGACACGGACCAGACUCCUACGGGAGGCAGCAGUGAGGAAUAUUGGACAAUGGGCGCAAGCCUGAUCCAGCCAUGCCGCGUGCAGGAAGACUGCCCUAUGGGUUGUAAACUGCUUUUAUACAGGAAGAAACACCUCUACGUGUAGAGACUUGACGGUACUGUAAGAAUAAGGAUCGGCUAACUCCGUGCCAGCAGCCGCGGUAAUACGGAGGAUCCAAGCGUUAUCCGGAAUCAUUGGGUUUAAAGGGUCCGUAGGUGGAUAAUUAAGUCAGGGGUGAAAGUCUGCAGCUCAACUGUAGAAUUGCCUUUGAUACUGGUUAUC